UACGGAGGAUCCAAGCGUUGUCCGGAUUUAUUGGGUUUAAAGGGUGCGUAGGCGGCUUUUUAAGUCAGUGGUGAAAGCUUACAGCUUAACUGUAAAAUUGCCAUUGAAACUGAAUAGCUUGAGUACGGUUGAGGUAGCUGGAAUAUGUCAUGUAGCGGUGAAAUGCUUAGAUAUGAUAUAGAACUCCGAUUGCGAAGGCAAGUUACUAAACCGAAACUGACGCUGAGGCACGAAAGCGUGGGUAGCAAACAGG
Molecule: ribosomal RNA, 253 nt
Filed under: uncultured bacterium
Lineage: Bacteria
Description: partial 16S ribosomal RNA
Rfam family: Bacterial small subunit ribosomal RNA
Source: RNAcentral